UACAGAGGGUGCAAACGUUGCUCGGAAUUAUUGGGCGUAAAGAGCUCGUAGGCGGUUUGUUGCGUCGGCUGUGAAAUCCCGAGGCUCAACCUCGGGUCUGCAGUCGAUACGAGCAAACUAGAGUGUUGCAGGGGAGACUGGAAUUCCUGGUGUAGCGGUGAAAUGCGCAGAUAUCAGGAGGAACACCGGGUGGCGAAGGCGGGUCUCUGGG
RNAcentral lists this ribosomal RNA (211 nucleotides) under uncultured bacterium. RNAcentral's name for it is "partial 16S ribosomal RNA". It matches the Rfam family "Bacterial small subunit ribosomal RNA", at positions 524 to 733 of the family's 1533-position model. The record is from RNAcentral.